GAAUUUUGGACCAUGGGCGAAAGCCUGAUCCAGCAAUGCCGCGUGCAGGAUGAAGGCCUUCGGGUUGUAAACUGCUUUUGUACGGAACGAAAAGCUUUGGGUUAAUACCCUGUAGUCAGGACGGUACCGUACGGAUAAGCACCGGCUAACUACGUGCCAGCAGCCGCGGUAAUACGUAGGGUGCAAGCGGUAAUCGGAAUUACUGGGCGUAAGCGAUCGCAAGCUGUUUUGGAAGGCAGAGGUGAAAUCCCCGGGCUCAACCUGGGAACUUCCUUUGUGACGGGAAGGCUAGAUGACGGCAGAGGGGGGUGGAAGUCCGCGUGUAGCAGUGAAAUGCGUAGAUAUGCGGAGGAACACCGAUGGCGAAGGCAACCCCCUGGGCCUGUACUGACGCUCAUGCACGAAAGCGUGGGGAGCAAACA
Molecule: ribosomal RNA, 422 nt
Filed under: uncultured bacterium
Lineage: Bacteria
Description: partial 16S ribosomal RNA
Rfam family: Bacterial small subunit ribosomal RNA
Source: RNAcentral